This 497-nucleotide ribosomal RNA is filed under the name uncultured bacterium. RNAcentral's name for it is "partial 16S ribosomal RNA". It matches the Rfam family "Bacterial small subunit ribosomal RNA", at positions 28 to 507 of the family's 1533-position model. The record is from RNAcentral.
GAUGAACGCUGGCGGCGUGCCUAAUACAUGCAAGUAGAACGCUGAAGGAAGGAGCUUGCUCUUUCCGGAUGAGUUGCGAACGGGUGAGUAACGCGUAGGUAACCUGCCUGGUAGCGGGGGAUAACUAUUGGAAACGAUAGCUAAUACCGCAUAACAGUAGAUGUUGCAUGAUAUCUACUUAAAAGGUGCAAUUGCACCACUACCAGAUGGACCUGCGUUGUAUUAGCUAGUUGGUGAGGUAAAGGCUCACCAAGGCGAAGAUACAUAACCGACCUUAGAGGGUGGUCGGCCACCCUGGGACUGGGACACGGCCCAGACCCCUACGGGAGGCAGCAGGAGGGAAUCUUCGGCAAUGGACGGAAGGCUGAACGGGCAACGCCGCGGGAGGGAAGAAGGUUGUCGGAUCGUAAAGCUCUGUUGUAAGAGAAGAACGAGUGUGAGAGUGGAAAGUUCACACUGUGACGGUAUCUUACCAGAAAGGGACGGCUAACUACGUG